RNAcentral lists this transfer RNA (76 nucleotides) under Micromonospora sp. WMMD882. Its description in RNAcentral is "tRNA-His". It matches the Rfam family "tRNA". From Rfam's summary of the family: Transfer RNA (tRNA) molecules are approximately 80 nucleotides in length. Their secondary structure includes four short double-helical elements and three loops (D, anti-codon, and T loops). The record is from RNAcentral. Lineage: Bacteria; Bacillati; Actinomycetota; Actinomycetes; Micromonosporales; Micromonosporaceae.
GUGGCUGUAGCUCAGUAGGCAGAGCACCGGGUUGUGGUCCCGGGUGUCGUGGGUUCAAAUCCCAUCAGUCACCCCA